GCACUUUUGAUGAGUUCCAAACAGGACGAAACAGUUGUCGAGUGC
RNAcentral lists this non-coding RNA (45 nucleotides) under Echinostoma caproni. Lineage: Eukaryota; Metazoa; Platyhelminthes; Trematoda; Plagiorchiida; Echinostomatidae. The record is from RNAcentral.